GUUACUGGGGGCGAUGGGGUUCGCCAUUAAAUCUGCUGAUGCAGUAAUGACUCCUACCAACAU
This 63-nucleotide non-coding RNA is filed under the name Pelosinus fermentans. Its description in RNAcentral is "Fluoride sequence". It matches the Rfam family "Fluoride riboswitch aptamer (crcB RNA motif)". Lineage: Bacteria; Bacillati; Bacillota; Negativicutes; Selenomonadales; Sporomusaceae. The record is from RNAcentral.